This is a long non-coding RNA of Jaculus jaculus (lesser Egyptian jerboa), 323 nucleotides long. RefSeq lists it as uncharacterized. NCBI's taxonomy places the organism in Eukaryota, Metazoa, Chordata, Mammalia, Rodentia, Dipodidae. The record is from RefSeq and is a predicted model, not a curated record. The transcript has 3 exons.
AUUUGGCAGAGCUGGCGCCUCGGAAAUCCCGGGCUCUGAAGCUGGGUGUGGUGGUGCGGGACUUUUAACCCAGCACUCUGGAGGCAUAGGGUGAAAUACUUGGGUUUAUGGUCAGUGUCUGCUGAGGUUUGGUUCCAGAGGAUGGCUUUAGUGAGAACUCAAGUUAAUGUGCAGUUGUAUACUGGGAGAGGGAAGCGCCAUGCAGAUCUGAAUCCCACCACUCCUGUAGAGCAGCCUCUUCCAAUGCCCCAGGCAGCAAAUAAUGACAAGUAUAUCCAGAGAAAUAACUGGCAAAGAACACUGCAGAUUUUAUUUGUACAAUC